UCAGAGGUCAAAGUGUACAUAUUGUGUCUGUGUAUGAGUGUGUACACCUGUAUGUGCAUCUCUGUCAAAGAAAUAUACUGUCUAAAGACAGAACCCGGUCUUGCUUACUGCUGUGUUCCCAGUCCCCACAGUUAGACAUGACACUCAGUAAUCUUUGUUGAAUGAAUAAAUGAGUGGAAUCUUAUCUCCAUGAAAGAGGAAUUGACUUUUAAUUCAGGAAGUAUGGUAGGGACGCCUGGGUGGCUUAGCGGUUGAGCGCCUGCCUUCGGCCCAGGGCAUGAUCCUGGAAUCCCGGGAUCGAGUUCUACGUCAGGCUCCCUGCAUGGAGCCUGCUUCUCCCUCUGCCUGUGUCUCUGCCUCUCUCUCUCUCUCUCUCUCUCUCUCUCUGUCUCUCAUGAAUAAAUAAAUUAAAUAUUUUUAAAAAGGGGGGGUGAGAAGUAUGGUAAAUUCAUAUUUUGGUCUUUGUAAAUCUUAUAGUUAUAGCUAAAAUAGAGUUUUUCUUUUUUUAAUAGAGUUUUUCUUAAUAGUCCAUGUUUUAGUGUAACUCUGAUAUAUUUAGUUGUGAAUUAUUUAUAUUACACAUAUGAAGAAAAGAUUAUGGUAAUUUUGUUAAAAUAUAACUUGUUUCUGUCAAGGAAUAUGUUUCUAUAAAAAAAAAAAACUAAUAGAGAUUAGCUUUCUGUAACAGCACUUGAAAUGUCUCUUCAAUGAUUUCCUGAGAUUAUUUUAGAAUAGUGUCAUUUACAAAAAUAUCAACCUUAUAGAAUAUUAUCUUUUAUUUUAGGACUUCAUGAUUUUUUUUUUUUUUUUUUUGCACUGAAACGGUGAAAAGAACUAAGCAGACAAAUAUAGAAUAUAAAUUCACUCAUCAUCCUUCUAACAAAGGAUUAAGCCAUUUCAUCUUGGGACAUUAAGGUUUCAAACAACAUUUAAGCAUCCAUACUGUGAAAAGCAAUAAGCUAGAUGCCAGGUGUCUUGCUUUUAAAAAUUAUUUAAUCUAGUAAGUAGAUGAGGUAGAUCUACACAUAAAGUAGAGUAGGGGCACUUCUGUGGCCCAGUUGGUUAAGCAUCUGCCUUUGGCUCAAGUCAUGAUCCCAGGGUUCAACAUUGAGCCCCAAAUCCAUGUUCCCUGCUCAGUGAGGAGUCUGCUUCUUUUCCUUCUCCCUCUGUCUCUCCCUCCCACUCGUGCAUGCAUGCUCUCUCUCAAA
Molecule: long non-coding RNA, 1208 nt
Filed under: Canis lupus familiaris (dog)
Lineage: Eukaryota; Metazoa; Chordata; Mammalia; Carnivora; Canidae
Description: lncRNA (ENSCAFG00845008275.1)
Source: RNAcentral